GAUGAAGAACGCAGCGAAAUGCGAUACGUAAUGUGAAUUGCAGAAUUCAGUGAAUCAUCGAAUCUUUGAACGCAUAUUGCGCUCUCUGGUAUUCCGGAGAGCAUGCUUGUUUGAGUAUCAGUAAACACCUCAACUUCCAUAUCUUUUUUGAAAUGGGAGUUGGACUUGAGUGAUCCCAACGCUUUUCCUCACCGAAAAGUGGCGGGUUACUUGAAAUGCAGGUGCAGCUGGACUUUUCUCUGAGCUAUAAGCAUAUCUAUUUAGUCUCCCUAAAAAACAGAUUAUUACCUUUGCUGCAGCUAACAUAAAGGAGAUUAGUUCUUGUGCUGACUGAUGCAGGAUUCACAAAGACGGCUUCGGCCGACUUUGUAAACUCGAUCUCAAAUCAAGUAAGACUACCCGCUGAACUUAAGCAUAUCAAUAAGCGGAGGA
Molecule: unclassified non-coding RNA, 432 nt
Filed under: soil metagenome
Description: partial contains 5.8S ribosomal RNA, internal transcribed spacer 2, and large subunit ribosomal RNA
Rfam family: 5.8S ribosomal RNA (bases 1-120)
Source: RNAcentral